This 315-nucleotide ribosomal RNA is filed under the name Bacillus sp. V. RNAcentral describes it as "bacterial SSU rRNA". It matches the Rfam family "Bacterial small subunit ribosomal RNA", at positions 1161 to 1481 of the family's 1533-position model. Lineage: Bacteria; Bacillati; Bacillota; Bacilli; Caryophanales; Bacillaceae. The record is from RNAcentral.
AAUCCGGAGAAGGCGGGAUGAUGUUAAAUCAUCAUGCCCCUUAUGACCUGGGUACACACGUGUACAAUGGACGGUACAAAGGGCAGCAAAACCGGAGGUCGAGCCAAUCCCAUAAAACCGUUUCAGUUCGGAUUGCAGGCUGCAACUCGCCUGCAUGAAGCCGGAAUCGCUAGUAAUCGCGGAUCAGCAUGCCGCGGUGAAUACGUUCCCGGGCCUUGUACACACCGCCCGUCACACCACGAGAGUUUGUAACACCCGAAGUCGGUGGGGUAACCUUUGGAGCCAGCCGCCUAAGGUGGGACAGAUGAUUGGGGG